UUCGUGGCUAGGAGGAGGGAUAUUCAUGGCGAUUCAAUUAACAAGGCUCAAUUGAAGGACUUUUGGGACCAGAUUUCUGACUAGAGUUUUGAUUCCAGGCUCAGAACCGUCUUUGACAUGGUUGAUAAAGAUGCAGAUGGAAGAAUCACCAAGGAAGAAAUUAAAGAGACCAUCUGCCUUAGUGCCACAACAAACAAACUCUCAAACAUAUAGCAGCAGGCUAAAGAAUAUGCAGCUUUGAUCAUGGAAGAACUAGACCCUGAAGAGAUAGGAUUUAUCAUGCAAUGCCGUUUUCCCCUUUUGCACUUGAAAUUAAGCUGAUUGGCAUGAUUUUGUGAAUUUUGCAUUCAACUUUCUGUAAGCAGCGCAGUAACUGCGUGGAAAUUAGUUCUUGCUGGGAAUGAACAAGGGAAUGAACACUGAUACAAUUGUUAAGGCCAAGAGUUUUCUUGAUGGUGAUGAAGAUCAGCAUGAAAAAGAUGUGUUUGAGAAGAAUUUGAAGGUGCUUCAGAAUAUUUUAGUCAUUAUGCCGAGAUUAGAAGAUUAAUGAUUUUUUGUUUGUUAAGUUCUUUUCGGAUAUAGAGUGCAAACUUUGCAUUUUAAUUGAUAUGUGAUACAAGU
Molecule: long non-coding RNA, 621 nt
Organism: Arachis duranensis
Lineage: Eukaryota; Viridiplantae; Streptophyta; Magnoliopsida; Fabales; Fabaceae
Exons: 5
Source: RefSeq, a predicted model, not a curated record